RNAcentral lists this long non-coding RNA (252 nucleotides) under Malus domestica (apple). Its description in RNAcentral is "long non-coding RNA (MDOM_LNC008182)". The record is from RNAcentral. Lineage: Eukaryota; Viridiplantae; Streptophyta; Magnoliopsida; Rosales; Rosaceae.
CCUUUAGGGCCUAGCCCUCUCCCUUUUUAGUCCCAAAUAUAGUUCAGUAAAUUAGGCCUACAAUAAUUUUAAUUUUUUUUUACUUUUUAUAAUGGGUGAAAUUAUUAUGUAUGUGGGAAAAUAGGACAAUGGGUGGAUCUUGCAACUCUCUUACCCAAUUUGAUUCCUUUUUCUCCAUUAUGACUUAUAUAACAAAAUACAUGAACACCAAAAUUUAUUUAAACUAUUUAGACAAAGAGGGUUUGAACUCGU